This 1436-nucleotide ribosomal RNA is filed under the name uncultured organism. Its description in RNAcentral is "SSU rRNA". It matches the Rfam family "Bacterial small subunit ribosomal RNA". The record is from RNAcentral.
AACACAUGCAAGUCGAGGGGCAGCAUGGUCUUAGCUUGCUAAGACUGAUGGCGACCGGCGCACGGGUGAGUAACACGUAUCCAACCUGCCGUCUACUCUUGGACAGCCUUCUGAAAGGAAGAUUAAUACAAGAUGGCAUCAUGAGUCCGCAUGUUCACAUGAUUAAAGGUAUUCCGGUAGACGAUGGGGAUGCGUUCCAUUAGAUAGUAGGCGGGGUAACGGCCCACCUAGUCUUCGAUGGAUAGGGGUUCUGAGAGGAAGGUCCCCCACAUUGGAACUGAGACACGGUCCAAACUCCUACGGGAGGCAGCAGUGAGGAAUAUUGGUCAAUGGGCGAGAGCCUGAACCAGCCAAGUAGCGUGAAGGAUGACUGCCCUAUGGGUUGUAAACUUCUUUUAUAAAGGAAUAAAGUCGGGUAUGCAUACCCGUUUGCAUGUACUUUAUGAAUAAGGAUCGGCUAACUCCGUGCCAGCAGCCGCGGUAAUACGGAGGAUCCGAGCGUUAUCCGGAUUUAUUGGGUUUAAAGGGAGCGUAGAUGGAUGUUUAAGUCAGUUGUGAAAGUUUGCGGCUCAACCGUAAAAUUGCAGUUGAUACUGGAUAUCUUGAGUGCAGUUGAGGCAGGCGGAAUUCGUGGUGUAGCGGUGAAAUGCUUAGAUAUCACGAAGAACUCCGAUUGCGAAGGCAGCCUGCUAAGCUGCAACUGACAUUGAGGCUCGAAAGUGUGGGUAUCAAACAGGAUUAGAUACCCUGGUAGUCCACACGGUAAACGAUGAAUACUCGCUGUUUGCGAUAUACUGCAAGCGGCCAAGCGAAAGCGUUAAGUAUUCCACCUGGGGAGUACGCCGGCAACGGUGAAACUCAAAGGAAUUGACGGGGGCCCGCACAAGCGGAGGAACAUGUGGUUUAAUUCGAUGAUACGCGAGGAACCUUACCCGGGCUUAAAUUGCAGAUGAAUUACGGUGAAAGCCGUAAGCCGCAAGGCAUCUGUGAAGGUGCUGCAUGGUUGUCGUCAGCUCGUGCCGUGAGGUGUCGGCUUAAGUGCCAUAACGAGCGCAACCCUUGUUGUCAGUUACUAACAGGUUCCGCUGAGGACUCUGACAAGACUGCCAUCGUAAGAUGUGAGGAAGGUGGGGAUGACGUCAAAUCAGCACGGCCCUUACGUCCGGGGCUACACACGUGUUACAAUGGGGGGUACAGAGGGCCGCUACCACGCGAGUGGAUGCCAAUCCCCAAAACCUCUCUCAGUUCGGACUGGAGUCUGCAACCCGACUCCACGAAGCUGGAUUCGCUAGUAAUCGCGCAUCAGCCACGGCGCGGUGAAUACGUUCCCGGGCCUUGUACACACCGCCCGUCAAGCCAUGGGAGCCGGGGGUACCUGAAGUGCGUAACCGCGAGGAGCGCCCUAGGGUAAAACUGGUGACUGGGGCUAAGUCAUA